This 1271-nucleotide long non-coding RNA is filed under the name Canis lupus familiaris (dog). RNAcentral describes it as "lncRNA (ENSCAFG00000053027.1)". The record is from RNAcentral. Lineage: Eukaryota; Metazoa; Chordata; Mammalia; Carnivora; Canidae.
UGCCUCUGGAGUUUGCUCUGCAACUGGAAAGAUCUCAGUUUCAGUUCAUUCUGGUGGUGUCAACAUGCCAGAAGUCACAUAUCCAUGCACAUAGAGACAGCUGUGUGCUCUUGCUUUUCCUCAAUACAGGCUCAAGGAUUUGAGUGAUCUGAGCAGGUUUGGGAAGAAUUAUUCAGUGACAGACACAAAAGAAACAAGACAAAAAAGACAUGAGAGAGAUUUGUUUUGGAAGAGUCUAUUGUUCAUUCCUGGCUUUUGCUGACAUUCAGAGGGAUUAAGAUGGAAUGAAGGAAAAAUGACUGACCCAGAAGUCUGCUCACCUCAGAAGCAGCAGCAGGUUUCCUUCAAAGGAAAGCAAAAGCUUAAUCUGUAAAAGAGAUCUUUUCAAUGGACUGGCUUCGGCAGUUGGCCACGCAGGUCCCUUCCGAACCUCCAAGGUGCCACAGCCGCUCUGCAGUUGCUCAGGUGGAGACGAUCCGGCCACGUGGUUGGGGCCCUGAGGGGAGCACUUCCGGUCCGCGCUUGGGCAGCUUCCGGUGUGUGUCCGCCUGACUUCUCCGUGCUUCCCUGCGCGAGGCCGGUCCGAUUCCCCCUUCCCCUGUGCCCGCAGGGAAUGCAAGCCGCGGUCGUGACCCACCGGAACAAGGGCGCGGCCCGCCUGCGCUCGGCCCCGGCGCUCUCCCGCGCCCGGCCGGCCGCCAUGCGCCUACAGUAGCCCCGCGAGAGCCUUCCCUAGCGCGGCUCCGCCGGGUGUGCCGCGGGCCUGCGCGGUUCCCAGGCGUCAGGCUGUGACAAGCACAGCCAGGCAAGCGCACGGGGUCAGCAGCCGCUCAGUCCAUCUUGAAACACCGAGAGGCUGACGUGUGUGGGAGUCCGCGGCUCACCUGAAAGCUGCCCUGGUGCCUUGAAACAGCUGCUGCUUAGCCCCAUGCUAAGGGACGCCUGGUGGCUCAGCGGUUGAGCGCCUGCCUUUGGCUCAGGGUGUGAUCCUGGAGUCCUGGGUUCAAGUCCUACAUCAGGCUCCUUGUAUGGACCCUGCUUGUGUUUCUGCCUCUCUCUCUCUCUGUCUCUCAUGGAUAAACAAAAAUCUUAAAAAGAACCUCCAAGUGACCUUCCGUUCAUCCGAACCAUGUUUGACUAUGGGGUCUUAGAGGAUGUGAGGGUGUAUAGCAGGAGAGAUUUGAUUUCUAAGUUCACUCUCCUAGCAUGGAGCUAAAGAGCAAGUUCCUUUUCACGGUCUUGUUACUUUUCUUACUACUUUUUUUUUUUUU